RNAcentral lists this ribosomal RNA (453 nucleotides) under Aleurodicus dispersus. Its description in RNAcentral is "partial 16S ribosomal RNA". The record is from RNAcentral. Lineage: Eukaryota; Metazoa; Arthropoda; Insecta; Hemiptera; Aleyrodidae.
AAUAAUUUCUGCUCAAUGAAAAUUUAAAUAGCCGCAAUAUAUUAAUUGUGCUAAGGUAGCAUAAUAAUUAGUUUUUUAAUUAAAAAAUAGUAUGAAAGAAAAAAUAAAAAAUUAACUUUUAAUAAAUUAAAAAAUAUAAAUUAAUAUUUAAGUAAAAAAACUUAAAUAAAAUAAAAAGACGAAAAGACCCUUUAGAAUUUUAUUAUAAUAAUUAAUUCAAUAAUUAAAAAUAAUUUAAUUGGGGAGAUUAUAUAAUUAAACUAACUUAUAUUUAAAAUAAACAUUAAUUAAUGAUAAAAAAUAAUAAUCCAUAAAAUGAAAUAAAAAUAAAUUACCUAAGGGAUAACAGCAUAAAAAUUUUUAAAAGAUCAUAUUAACAAAAUUUAUUAUGACCUCGAUGUUGAAUUAAGAAUAAAUUAUAAAGUAGAUUUUAUAAUUUUAAGUCUGUUCGAC